GUGCCCGUGGUGUAGUGGUUAUCACAUCCGCUGUUCAUGCGGAAGGUCCCAGGUUCGAUCCCUGGCGGGCGCG
Molecule: non-coding RNA, 73 nt
Organism: Rhipicephalus sanguineus (brown dog tick)
Lineage: Eukaryota; Metazoa; Arthropoda; Arachnida; Ixodida; Ixodidae
Source: the annotation of a RefSeq genome assembly